AAACUAAUACUUUAAAUAAAAGAGUAGUGUUGCACACUACCAUUGACAAUUGUGUCUUAGUUUG
Molecule: transfer RNA, 64 nt
Filed under: Ruditapes philippinarum (Manila clam)
Lineage: Eukaryota; Metazoa; Mollusca; Bivalvia; Venerida; Veneridae
Description: tRNA-Ala
Source: RNAcentral